GAUCCUGGCUCAGGAUGAACGCUAGCUACAAGCUUAACACAUGCAAGUCGAGGGGCAGCAUGGUCUUAGCUUGCUAAGGUCCGAUGGCGACCGGCGCACGGGUGAGUAACACGUAUCCAACCUGCCGUCUACUCGUUGGACAGCCUUCUGAAAGGAAGAUUAAUACAAGAUGGCAUCAUGAGUCCGCAUGUUCACAUGAUUAAAGGUAUUCCGGUAGACGAUGGGGA
RNAcentral lists this ribosomal RNA (227 nucleotides) under uncultured bacterium. RNAcentral describes it as "partial 16S ribosomal RNA". It matches the Rfam family "Bacterial small subunit ribosomal RNA", at positions 15 to 231 of the family's 1533-position model. The record is from RNAcentral.